Molecule: ribosomal RNA, 1168 nt
Filed under: Klebsiella oxytoca
Lineage: Bacteria; Pseudomonadati; Pseudomonadota; Gammaproteobacteria; Enterobacterales; Enterobacteriaceae
Description: bacterial LSU rRNA
Rfam family: Bacterial large subunit ribosomal RNA
Source: RNAcentral
GGGUGACUGCGUACCUUUUGUAUAAUGGGUCAGCGACUUAUAUUCUGUAGCAAGGUUAACCGUAUAGGGGAGCCGCAGGGAAACCGAGUCUUAACUGGGCGUUAAGUUGCAGGGUAUAGACCCGAAACCCGGUGAUCUAGCCAUGGGCAGGUUGAAGGUUGGGUAACACUAACUGGAGGACCGAACCGACUAAUGUUGAAAAAUUAGCGGAUGACUUGUGGCUGGGGGUGAAAGGCCAAUCAAACCGGGAGAUAGCUGGUUCUCCCCGAAAGCUAUUUAGGUAGCGCCUCGUGAAUUCAUCUUCGGGGGUAGAGCACUGUUUCGGCUAGGGGGUCAUCCCGACUUACCAACCCGAUGCAAACUACGAAUACCGAAGAAUGUUAUCACGGGAGACACACGGCGGGUGCUAACGUCCGUCGUGAAGAGGGAAACAACCCAGACCGCCAGCUAAGGUCCCAAAGUCAUGGUUAAGUGGGAAACGAUGUGGGAAGGCCCAGACAGCCAGGAUGUUGGCUUAGAAGCAGCCAUCAUUUAAAGAAAGCGUAAUAGCUCACUGGUCGAGUCGGCCUGCGCGGAAGAUGUAACGGGGCUAAACCAUGCACCGAAGCUGCGGCAGCGACACUAUGUGUUGUUGGGUAGGGGAGCGUUCUGUAAGCCGUUGAAGGUGGCCUGUGAGGGUUGCUGGAGGUAUCAGAAGUGCGAAUGCUGACAUAAGUAACGAUAAUGCGGGUGAAAAACCCGCACGCCGGAAGACCAAGGGUUCCUGUCCAACGUUAAUCGGGGCAGGGUGAGUCGACCCCUAAGGCGAGGCCGAAAGGCGUAGUCGAUGGGAAACAGGUUAAUAUUCCUGUACUUGGUGUUACUGCGAAGGGGGGACGGAGAAGGCUAUGUUGGCCGGGCGACGGUUGUCCCGGUUUAAGCAUGUAGGCGGAUGUUCCAGGUAAAUCCGGAACGUCACUAACGCUGAGGUGUGAUGACGAGGCACUACGGUGCUGAAGUGACAAAUGCCCUGCUUCCAGGAAAAGCCUCUAAGCAUCAGGUAACAUCAAAUCGUACCCCAAACCGACACAGGUGGUCAGGUAGAGAAUACCAAGGCGCUUGAGAGAACUCGGGUGAAGGAACUAGGCAAAAUGGUGCCGUAACUUCGGGAGAAGGCACGCUGAUGGUA